This is a long non-coding RNA of Sycon ciliatum, 1174 nucleotides long. RefSeq lists it as uncharacterized. The record is from RefSeq and is a predicted model, not a curated record. The transcript is spliced from 3 exons. Lineage: Eukaryota; Metazoa; Porifera; Calcarea; Leucosolenida; Sycettidae.
AAGCUCCCUGUCGAAUUCGCGAAGUAACAGUUUAAAUGUAUAAAGCAUGCCGCCGCCCCCAAGUAAAUGCGACCGUGGGUCGUUGAAAGAGCGAGACUGUUCCAGCGCCACUAACUCUUUCUCGAAUGAUGGGUCAUUUCUUGAGCAUUUCAAGAAACGCGAAACAGAAUUUUCUCCUGCAAAGACUCCUACUUCUAGUUCAAGAAGUGAUCAUGAAACAGAAGAAAAUGACGGGAGCAGAGCCGAGCAGUGUCGAGAAGAAAGUAGCUCGAUGAAGCCGACUUCGAAACCUGCUGUGAAGUUUGGCCAAUUCUGUGGGAAACGGAAAGCCUUGAUGAAGAGCCAGCCCAAACCCAAGAAGAAGAAAGAAGAUGAGGCGCAUAGUGGCAAGUCAGAACCGUGGAAGGCGUACAUGGCUGAAGUUAAACGGUAUAAAGACCAGACCUGUGCGGAUGACUCUGAGACAGUAAGACCCUUAGUUAAAUAACAACGGUGGGUGUUAUGUUACUUAGGUGCAGUAUAAUAGUACAUCAAAGCUAUGUUGGUGCUGAUGUGCUCUGCUGCUCUGUUCAUGUAUGGACCUGUGCCUCGUCACAGGCAUGGCCGGUGGCCUGCCUGUCAUCCUUAUUGCUGGAGUGGACCCCGCUCGUGUCCUACUGUGGCUGUGUGCACAUGCCGAAUACAGAAUGUGUUAGGACAUUCAGACUACAUGUAUUUCCACCGUGCUCACUGCACUGUGCUGGCUUGUUGUGCCUUUGACUUUAUUCGCAUUUCAUGAAAUAUCCCAAUGCGGCCCAUGUUAUUGACUACUCAACCGGUAUGUAUAUUUCUCUGUAUUAUUUAUGCUGCCCUCCCGAAAUGGCUUUGUGAUAUCACACACGCACGAGUGCAUGUGCCUGCUCUCAGAUACUGCUGCAGUACAAGAGCAAUUAGAACAUGCUUUGAUUGUUUGUUUUCUGCAAGCAGAACUAGGAUAGUGGCUGGCUCCAUUCUGUUUUUCUCCCUGGCUUUCCUUUUCUGGUUUUUCCCUAUCUCGUGCAUACCGUGCUGGGCAUGGAUAGCACAAUACACUGUAGUGCAUUUAGGAGAAUAGCCCAUGAUAGCACGUCUACAAUGAAUGUUCAAGCGAUAUAUAAAUCUUGCUAGUUAGAUGGACUAAAUGUGUGCAAGUUCA